GAUGAACGCUGGCGGCGUGCCUAAUACAUGCAAGUCGAGCGAACGGACGAGAAGCUUGCUUCUCUGAUGUUAGCGGCGGACGGGUGAGUAACACGUGGAUAACCUACCUAUAAGACUGGGAUAACUUCGGGAAACCGGAGCUAAUACCGGAUAAUAUUUUGAACCGCAUGGUUCAAAAGUGAAAGACGGUCUUGCUGUCACUUAUAGAUGGAUCCGCGCUGCAUUAGCUAGUUGGUAAGGUAACGGCUUACCAAGGCAACGAUGCAUAGCCGACCUGAGAGGGUGAUCGGCCACACUGGAACUGAGACACGGUCCAGACUCCUACGGGAGGCAGCAGUAGGGAAUCUUCCGCAAUGGGCGAAAGCCUGACGGAGCAACGCCGCGUGAGUGAUGAAGGUCUUCGGAUCGUAAAACGCUGUUAUUAGGGAAGAACAUAUGUGUAAGUAACUGUGCACAUCUUGACGGUACCGAAUCAGAAAGCCACGGCUAACUACGUG
This 497-nucleotide ribosomal RNA is filed under the name uncultured bacterium. RNAcentral's name for it is "partial 16S ribosomal RNA". It matches the Rfam family "Bacterial small subunit ribosomal RNA", at positions 28 to 507 of the family's 1533-position model. The record is from RNAcentral.